CACUGCACGCAAGUGCGAUAAGGGGACUCCGAGUGCGAGGGCAUAUAGUCCUCGCUUUUCUGUACCGUAGGAAGGUACAGGAAUAAGGGCUGGGCAAGACCGGUGCCAGCCGCCGCGGUAAUACCGGCAGCCCGAGUGAUGACCGAUUUUAUUGGGCCUAAAGCGUCCGUAGCUGGCCAAGCAAGUCUGUCGGGAAAUCCAUCCGCUCAACGGAUGGGCGUCCGGCGGAAACUCCUUGGCUUGGGACCGGAAGGCUCGAGGGGUACGUCUGGGGUAGGAGUGAAAUCCUGUAAUCCUGGACGGACCACCGAUGGCGAAAGCACCUCGAGAAGACGGAUCCGACAGUGAGGGACGAAAGCUAGGGUCUCGAACCGGAUUAGAUACCCGGGUAGUCCUAGCUGUAAACGAUGUUCGCUAGGUGUGGCACAGGCUACGAGCCUGUGCUGUGCCGUAGGGAAGCCGAGAAGCGAACCGCCUGGGAAG
RNAcentral lists this ribosomal RNA (483 nucleotides) under uncultured Halopelagius sp. Its description in RNAcentral is "bacterial SSU rRNA". It matches the Rfam family "Archaeal small subunit ribosomal RNA", at positions 353 to 835 of the family's 1478-position model. The record is from RNAcentral. Lineage: Archaea; Methanobacteriati; Methanobacteriota; Halobacteria; Halobacteriales; Haloferacaceae.